UACAGAGGGGGCAAGCGUUGUUCGGAAUUACUGGGCGUAAAGGGCGCGUAGGCGGCCGCCUAAGUCAGACGUGAAAUCCCUCGGCUCAACCGGGGAACUGCGUCUGAUACUGGGUGGCUUGAAUUCGGGAGAGGGAUGCGGAAUUCCAGGUGUAGCGGUGAAAUGCGUAGAUAUCUGGAGGAACACCGGUGGCGAAGGCGGUUCUCUGGGACGGUACUGACGCUGAGACGCGAAAGCGUGGGGAGCGAACAGG
RNAcentral lists this ribosomal RNA (253 nucleotides) under uncultured bacterium. RNAcentral describes it as "partial 16S ribosomal RNA". It matches the Rfam family "Bacterial small subunit ribosomal RNA", at positions 524 to 776 of the family's 1533-position model. The record is from RNAcentral.